GACUAUUACAGGUACGGGCUCUGAGAGGAGUGGCCCGGAGAUGGGUACUGAGACACGGACCCAGGCCCUAUGGGGCGCAGCAGGCGAGAAAACUUUGCAAUGUGCGAAAGCACGACAAGGUUAAUCCGAGUGGUUUCUGCUAAAGGAACCUUUUGUUAGUCCUAGAAACACUAACGAAUAAGGGGUGGGCAAGUUCUGGUGUCAGCCGCCGCGGUAAAACCAGCACCUCAAGUGGUCAGGAUGAUUAUUGGGCCUAAAGCAUCCGUAGCCGGCUCAGUAAGUUUUCGGUUAAAUCUGUACGCUCAACGUACAGGCUGCCGGGAAUACUGCAGAGCUAGGGAGUGGGAGAGGUAGACGGUACUCGGGAGGAAGUGGUAAAAUGCUUUGAUCUUUCGAUGACCACCCGUGGCGAAGGCGGUCUACCAGAACACGUCCGACGGUGAGGGAUGAAAGCUGGGGGAGCAAACCGGAUUAGAUACCCGGGUAGUCCCAGCUGUAAACUAUGCAAACUCAGUGAUGCAUUGGCUUGUGGCCAAUGCAGUGUUGCAGGGAAGCCGUUAAGUUUGCCGCCUGGGAAGUACGUACGCAAGUANGAAACUUAAAGGAAUUGGCGGGGGAGCACCACAA
Molecule: ribosomal RNA, 627 nt
Filed under: uncultured archaeon
Lineage: Archaea
Description: bacterial SSU rRNA
Rfam family: Archaeal small subunit ribosomal RNA
Source: RNAcentral